Molecule: ribosomal RNA, 812 nt
Filed under: uncultured bacterium
Lineage: Bacteria
Description: bacterial SSU rRNA
Rfam family: Bacterial small subunit ribosomal RNA
Source: RNAcentral
UNGGAGAGGAAAGUGGAAUUCCUAGNGUAGCGGUGAAAUGCGUAGAUAUUAGGAAGAACACCNGUGGCGAAGGCGACUUUCUGGACGAAAACUGACGCUGAGGCGCGAAAGCCAGGGGAGCGAACGGGAUUAGNUACCCCGGUAGUCCUGGCCGUAAACGAUGGGUACUAGGUGUAGGAGGUAUCGACCCCUUCUGUGCCGGAGUUAACGCAAUAAGUACCCCGCCUGGGGAGUACGACCGCAAGGUUGAAACUCAAAGGAAUUGACGGGGGCCCGCACAAGCGGUGGAGUAUGUGGUUUAAUUCGACGCAACGCGAAGAACCUUACCAGGUCUUGACAUUGAUGGACAGAACCAGAGAUGGUUCCUCUUCUUCGGAAGCCAGAAAACAGGUGGUGCACGGUUGUCGUCAGCUCGUGUCGUGAGAUGUUGGGUUAAGUCCCGCAACGAGCGCAACCCCUAUCUUAUGAUGCCAGCACUUUGGGUGGGGACUCAUGAGAGACUGCCGCAGACAAUGCGGAGGAAGGCGGGGAUGACGUCAAAUCAUCAUGCCCCUUAUGACCUGGGCUACACACGUACUACAAUGGGAGUUAAUAGACGGAAGCGAGAUCGCGAGAUGGAGCAAACCCGAGAAACACUCUCUCAGUUCGGAUCGUAGGCUGCAACUCGCCUACGUGAAGUCGGAAUCGCUAGUAAUCGCAGGUCAGCAUACUGCGGUGAAUACGUUCCCGGGCCUUGUACACACCGCCCGUCACACCACGAAAGUCGGAAGUGCCCAAAGCCGGUGGGGUAACCUUCGGGAGCCAGCCGUCUA